Long non-coding RNA from Monomorium pharaonis (pharaoh ant), 1169 nucleotides. RefSeq lists it as uncharacterized. The record is from RefSeq and is a predicted model, not a curated record. NCBI's taxonomy places the organism in Eukaryota, Metazoa, Arthropoda, Insecta, Hymenoptera, Formicidae. The transcript has 2 exons.
AUAAUAAUUUAUACUUGUACUGUCUACAAAAAAAAUUGUAUAAGCAUAAUGUAAACAAUAGGUAAAUAAUCCAUGUAGACGUAAUCUUAAUUUUAUACGGUGUAACUGUGCUCUUGAUUAUAGCACGGAAGAGAAUCAAAAAAUCGUAAAUAUUACUUACGAGAUUCACAGACAUUGAGUACAUAGUUCAAUAUUCACAUUUUAUUGGCAUAGAGACGCUAAUUGUAAAAUAGUCACAGCAAAAUCGUCGCUGUGGCUGUAAGUUGCAUCAGGGAUGCAAAUUUAACGGUUUUCUCGCUAGAUCUAGCGUUUUUCAAAGCUCAUCUAGCUGGUAAAUUUAAAAAAUGCUGCGGUAAUUCUGACUUUAUGAAAUACUUUUCUAACUUUUUUCUAGCGGUUUUUAAGUAAAGUUAUAUCAGAGAGAAACCUGAGAGUGGCCAUCGCGGUCUUUUUGAUGAGACUGAUAUUUGACUACAGUAUCAGUGCCAAACAUGGAUAUAAAACUACACGUGACCUUACUCACUUAUCAGAACUGUUAAUAAAGAAAUCUUUUUUUGGUGUAUGUCCGUGCUACAUAGGAGCAAACAAGAUGAUUAAGCAUUAAUGAAUUACGGAGUAUUUUCGAACAAGCUGAAUCUUGUCGUAACUCAAGGAAAGAAAAUAACACGCGACUGAUUUAUUCAAACAACCAAAGUACAAUAAAUUAUCCAACAAGCGAUAACGAGAUGAUUAAGAUAAUCAAUUUUUUGUUUAAUUUCUUUUUAUUAUUUUAUUAAAUUACCUAAUUUUAUUAAAUUAAUUAAAGAUUGUUAACGUAAUUUUUUUCACAAAAUUGUCAAUUCUUUUCAAUUAAAAUGACGAAGAAGAAGACUAAUAUGGCCCAUAAUACUGAGUUCUAUUUUUCUUUUUCCUCUUUUAAGUGAUUUGUGGUAACAAACCACGUAGUAAUUCAUGCUUGUCAAAAUCAUCCAUUAAAUAAGCUAAUCGACUAUAUUAUCAAGAGAUACCGUCAGAUGAAGAAAGCGACUUCUCACCCUAUGUGAUUUUCUUGUUCGUCUGAUCUAGUUAGCUGUAUCAUUAAAAUAAGUAACAAGAUUAAGUGUAUAUUGUAAUGUACAUCAAUUACGGAAAAGCUGAAUAUAAUUACAGAGUUUGUUUCACCUUUUAAA